Drosophila miranda is the source of this 1190-nucleotide long non-coding RNA. RefSeq lists it as uncharacterized. The transcript has 3 exons. The record is from RefSeq and is a predicted model, not a curated record. Lineage: Eukaryota; Metazoa; Arthropoda; Insecta; Diptera; Drosophilidae.
CUGUCAUAUGCCGAGGGAUGCAUGGCCGAGGGGGUGCUCGGUCGCUAAUAUGUGGUCUCUGGAUACCUGCCGUCCUCCAGUUUAAAUAGAGCUUCCCGGGGCACGGGUGACUAACCCCUUCCCGCCUACUCGUGGGACCAACAAUGCCAAAAUCGAAAAUAAAUACCAAAAACACCGCAAAGGAGCUCGGUACUCCUCUUAAAGUGCCGGAUGGAAAAUACUAUCCCUCUUCAACCGCAUCUGGGAAACCAGACCUGGAGCCCCGGGAGACUCCUAGCAUUGAGAUCAAGCCUGCGGUGUCGGACGUAGCAUCAGUGGUGUCGGAUGACAUCCUGGAUGGCUCUGUGUCUGACGUGAGGUCGGGGAGGAACUCGACUCCUCGGAAAGCGACCACGACAAACCAAUGGUGGAGCCAUUGCGCUGCUCUCUUGCUCCUCGGAAACAGAGUCUCCGGUCUGGGGACUCCUGACUAUAAGCUAUAGUACGUAGCUGACACCGCAGACUAAACAGUAGUGAGCCUCGAAGGCCAGGGGCGCUCACUGCGGAUCUGCUCCACGUACAUGGGUCACGACUAACCCAACCCCAGAUUGCGAUGACAAGGACACCGGCCUGAUCGUAGAGUGCGACGCCAACGAACUUCACUGCCAGUGGGGAAGCACUGACACAAACGAAAGGCCUUCAAAGAAAGAGCUCAACAUGUCUUCGACCAGCAAUAAAAACACCAGGUCGUCUAUGGAUGGAUACCAGUGUGCAUAUAUUGGGGCGAUACCUGUGUUGGAGCGGUUCGACUUCGCAAGGGACACACUAUUGCACAGAUAUGGCGCUUCGAAUGCAAAUCAGAGUUCAGACUCUCAAGGUCAGGACAAUAUUGUUGGGUUCUCAGGAGCAUUACGAACCAGCAGCCUGAUAACAAGUGGAAAAUUUCGGCGAACGUAGAGAUGGCAGGUCCAGCGUUCCAUCGACCUCAAUAGAUCGAUAUGUUGCUUGGCGCAGACUCAUUUUUCGAGUUGUUGUGCAACGGGCAGACUCAAUAAUGGAGAGAAAACUCUCCUGGGAUGGGUAGUUUCUGGACGAAGCAAGCAACAACAAUAAGAAGCUGCGUGUUAUCUCGCAGCUUCGUCAAAAGAAGACAUGGAGUUGGGAGGCCUUGUUAGAUACUGUUCCAGAAAAUAAAAACAUAGUAAAAUAUU